RNAcentral lists this ribosomal RNA (799 nucleotides) under uncultured Gammaproteobacteria bacterium. RNAcentral's name for it is "bacterial SSU rRNA". It matches the Rfam family "Bacterial small subunit ribosomal RNA", at positions 70 to 864 of the family's 1533-position model. Lineage: Bacteria; Pseudomonadati; Pseudomonadota; Gammaproteobacteria. The record is from RNAcentral.
CAUGAUCUGUAGCAAUACAGAUUGAUGGCGAGUGGCGGACGGGUGAGUAACACGUAGGAAUCUGCCCUAAAGCGGGGGAUAACCCGAGGAAACUCGGGCUAAUACCGCAUACACUUUACGAAGGAAAGCUGGGGUAACCUGGCACUUUAGGAGGAGCCUGCGUCCGAUUAGCUAGUUGGUAGGGUAAAAGCCUACCAAGGCGACAAUCGGUAGCUGGUCUGAGAGGAUGAUCAGCCACAUUGGGACUGAGACACGGCCCAAACUCCUACGGGAGGCAGCAGUGGGGAAUAUUGGACAAUGGGGGCAACCCUGAUCCAGCAAUACCGCGUGUGUGAAGAAGGCCUUCGGGUUGUAAAGCACUUUAGGCGGGGAAGAAGGUUAUUAGUUUAAGAGAUGAAUAAUUUGACGGUACCCGCAGAAUAAGCACCGGCUAACUCUGUGCCAGCAGCCGCGGUAAUACAGAGGGUGCAAGCGUUAAUCGGAUUUACUGGGCGUAAAGGGCGCGUAGGUGGUUGCGUAAGUGAGAUGUGAAAUCCCCGGGCUUAACCUGGGAACUGCAUCUUAUACUGCGUAGCUGGAGUGCAGUAGAGGGUAGUGGAAUUUCCGGUGUAGCGGUGAAAUGCGUAGAUAUCGGAAGGAACACCAGUGGCGAAGGCGGCUACCUGGACUGACACUGACACUGAGGCGCGAGAGCGUGGGGAGCAAACAGGAUUAGAUACCCUGGUAGUCCACGCUGUAAACGAUGAAAACUAGAUGUUGGGCAGCUUAGACUGUUCAGUAUCGAAGCUAACGCGAUAAG